GGGAUCUUGAAACAGCUAUAUGCACUACCUGCAUAGCAAGACUUGUUCAUAUGCAUAUUCAGGUAGAUUUGCAUAUUAGGAAUUCAGCAGACAGGACAGAUAUUUUAUGUUAGUUAUUGUCUUCCAUACCACUUUACUAUAUUAUGUUAUUAUACGUUACAGUGUGGUUUCCAACAUGAUUUGGUUAUUUAUAUUUUUAUUAAGU
Molecule: non-coding RNA, 205 nt
Organism: Pelobates cultripes (western spadefoot toad)
Lineage: Eukaryota; Metazoa; Chordata; Amphibia; Anura; Pelobatidae
Source: the annotation of a GenBank genome assembly